UACGAAGGGGGCUAGCGUUGUUCGGAAUUACUGGGCGUAAAGCGCGCGUAGGCGGCCUUGUAUGUCGAUUGUGAAAGCCCCGGGCUCAACCUGGGAACUGCAGUCGAAACUGCAAGGCUUGAAUGUUGGAGAGGUUGGGGGAAUACCUAGUGGAGAAGUGAAAUUCGUAGAGAUUAGGUGGAACACCAGAGGCGAAGGCGCCUGACUGGCCAAACAUUGACGCUGAGGCGCGAAAGCGUGGGUAGCAAACAGG
Molecule: ribosomal RNA, 253 nt
Filed under: uncultured bacterium
Lineage: Bacteria
Description: partial 16S ribosomal RNA
Rfam family: Bacterial small subunit ribosomal RNA
Source: RNAcentral